RNAcentral lists this long non-coding RNA (2006 nucleotides) under Sorghum bicolor (sorghum). RNAcentral describes it as "long non-coding RNA (SBIC_LNC017050)". The record is from RNAcentral. Lineage: Eukaryota; Viridiplantae; Streptophyta; Magnoliopsida; Poales; Poaceae.
CCCCUUUUUAUUUCCUCGUAUUCACUUCUUUUUUUUUGAGCACUCACCCUCCUGGAAUAAUGUAGCAAGUGGUAGUAACCAAGAUAACUCAAGCAUUUAUUCCACAGGGAAUAACAGGAAUAGGACAAUGUUUUUGGCUAUUCUCUCCCAUAUAGGAGUAGAAUAAUUUUAGGUGGAUCUAGAGAUGGAAAUGAGAGGAUGUAUGUGGAUGUGUACUUCCGGAGUAGAAGUAGCAUGUAUGAGUGGAUGUUGAAGUGAAUCUUGAUUUUAAUCGCAUGACAAGCUCCUAAGGGUCUACACAGCUUGACCACACUCAAUGCUCAUAAGCAGUAAAUGUAUGGUUCUUAGUCUAAUAAGCAUGUAUAUAUGGCUGUGGUAGGAAUUUAAACUCUCAUCAUACAAAAACUCAUCAUGCAACAUUUUUAAAGAUUUUCAAAGAUAAAAUUCUCCAGAAUUCUAACAUCUCUAGGAACAGAUAAACAACAGCUCAACCUUCCCAUAUCAUAUCCGUUAACGACUUAGACUUUAGAUCAAGUACUCUUCCCACAAGUUCAGGUUUAGAGCGAGCUUUAAAUUAUAAUAGUUAUGCCUAACUUGAGAGAGAGAGCUCAAAUUUGAAAACUAGGUACUUGGCAGAGCAACUAUUCAUCAUAUCCAUGUAAGAGUUUAUUAUUAAGAUUUAGUUUAGCAUAGCCACUUUAUUUAUUUAUUUAUCAAAGUAAGCAAGACAUAUUUAUAUAUAAAUAAGCACAAAAUCUGUAUUUGGGUUUUCAUGAUUAUGCAUCUUUUUAUUAUUUGAGUAAAGUAUAAACACGAGUAGAAACACUUAGCUGGAUAAAUGGGGGUGCUCUCCCCCAAGGUGGAUUUUGACGUAAUUUCUUUUGAUGUGGCUAGCAGGUGGUAGAGGUGUGUUUGAAUGUGGGCAGCACCCUAACAACGUUUAGGAUGUCCUCCGUCUACUAGUCUUCUUGAUCCUUGAAUUUUGUGGAGCUCAAAUAGACAACAAAGCUUUGUGGAACUAGUUAAGUGUUAGUGUAAAUCUCUAUCCCUUUAUCAUGUUGAGCUUUCUCAAUAAAUGUUAUUCUCUUUGUUAGGAUCAUAAACUUAUUUUUACAUUUUCAUUUUUAGGAAUAUAUUUAUUUAUUUUUAUGCCACCACAGUGAAUGUACUUAUGGGUUUUAUGCCACUAGCAUACUCACAUGGGGCUUUAUCAUUUUUUACAUUUAUUUUCUUUUUAGGGUAGUAUGAACAUGAUUAACUAAACAAGCUUAUUUAAGGAAAGUAAAUAAUAAAAGGGAAAGUGAUAACUACCAAGUUUACCUCUUGGCACGGUGUUCGGUGCUUUUAAGUCCUCCAAACGAGACUCUUUAUGUCCUUAGUCGUCCUAGGAUUCGUUGGAUGGCAUAGACGGUGGUUUCGGCGGCGCCUCCUCUUCUAUUAUAACUCUUUUCUCUUUCCAUACCUGAUUUGGUGCUACAGUCUCCUUAGGCAAACCUGUUCGAGAUAUAUAUCUUCAGAUCUUAUUACCUCUCCUUCAUAGUCCACCCAUCCGUCCUUGAUGAUUUGCCUCCUCUGGUUGCGGUUGCGUCGUCUUCUACUCAUCCUGGUCUACUUAGAAUCUUCAAAUAUAUAGUUAGAAUUAUUAAAGCAACGACAUACUUUCUCAGAGGGGAAGUGCAUGUGGACUUCUUCUGUUCCAAUGUAGAUGAUGGCUUUAACGGUGCUGAGGAACGAUCUUCGAAGGAUGAUGGGUAGAUCAUACUCAUCUUCUCCCAUGUCAAUGACUUGGAAAUCUAUCGGAAUAAAAUGGUCGUUGAUUUUGACAGGGAUAGUUACUAUACCUUCGACUUUGUGAAAUGUCUGGUCUACCAUCUGGAGCUGAGUGUAUGUUGGUUGUAGGGGCAUGGUUCCGUACAGGAGUUGAUAGGUGACUGCGGCCAUUAUAUUGACGCCCGGUCCGGUGUCGUAGAUUGUCUUCUAGAAGGAAUAUCCAUUGAUUGUGCAUU